CCUACGGGUGGCUGCAGUGGGGAAUAUUGGACAAUGGGCGAAAGCCUGAUCCAGCCAUGCCGCGUGUGUGAAGAAGGCCUUCGGGUUGUAAGCACUUUCAGUGGGGAAGAAAGCCUUGGGGCUAAUACCCUCGAGGAAGGACAUCACCCACAGAAGAAGCACCGGCUAACUCCGUGCCAGCAGCCGCGGUAAUACGGAGGGUGCGAGCGUUAAUCGGAAUUACUGGGCGUAAAGCGCGCGUAGGCGGUCUGAUAAGCCGGUUGUGAAAGCCCCGGGCUCAACCUGGGAACGGCAUCCGGAACUGUCAGGCUAGAGUGCAGGAGAGGAAGGUAGAAUUCCCGGUGUAGCGGUGAAAUGCGUAGAGAUCGGGAGGAAUACCAGUGGCGAAGGCGGCCUUCUGGACUGACACUGACGCUGAGGUGCGAAAGCGUGGGUAGCAAACAGGAUUAGAUACCCGGGUAGUC
Molecule: ribosomal RNA, 464 nt
Filed under: Vreelandella stevensii
Lineage: Bacteria; Pseudomonadati; Pseudomonadota; Gammaproteobacteria; Oceanospirillales; Halomonadaceae
Description: partial 16S ribosomal RNA
Rfam family: Bacterial small subunit ribosomal RNA
Source: RNAcentral